CCUACGGGAGGCUGCAGUGGGGAAUAUUGGACAAUGGGGGGAACCCUGAUCCAGCCAUGCCGCGUGUGUGAAGAAGGCCCUCGGGUUGUAAAGCACUUUCAGUGAGGAAGAACGCCUGGUGGUUAAGACCCAUCAGGAAAGACAUCACUCACAGAAGAAGCACCGGCUAACUCCGUGCCAGCAGCCGCGGUAAUACGGAGGGUGCGAGCGUUAUUCGGAAUUACUGGGCGUAAAGCGCGCGUAGGUGGCUUGAUAAGCCGGUUGUGAAAGCCCCGGGCUCAACCUGGGAACGGCAUCCGGAACUGUCAAGCUAGAGUGAAGGAGAGGAAGGUAGAAUUCCCGGUGUAGCGGUGAAAUGCGUAGAGAUCGGGAGGAAUACCAGUGGCGAAGGCGACCUUCUGGACUGACACUGACACUGAGGUGCGAAAGCGUGGGUAGCAAACAGGAUUAGAUACCCUAGUAGUC
Molecule: ribosomal RNA, 465 nt
Filed under: Vreelandella stevensii
Lineage: Bacteria; Pseudomonadati; Pseudomonadota; Gammaproteobacteria; Oceanospirillales; Halomonadaceae
Description: partial 16S ribosomal RNA
Rfam family: Bacterial small subunit ribosomal RNA
Source: RNAcentral